RNAcentral lists this non-coding RNA (262 nucleotides) under Clostridium acidisoli. RNAcentral describes it as "T-box sequence". It matches the Rfam family "T-box leader". Rfam says of the family: Uncharged tRNA acts as the effector for transcription antitermination of genes in the T-box leader family. T-boxes are found upstream of many aminoacyl-tRNA synthetase genes and some amino acid biosynthetic genes usually in Gram-positive bacteria. The anticodon of a specific tRNA base pairs to a specifier sequence within the T-box motif, and the NCCA acceptor tail of the tRNA base pairs to a conserved bulge in the T-box antiterminator hairpin. The record is from RNAcentral. Lineage: Bacteria; Bacillati; Bacillota; Clostridia; Eubacteriales; Clostridiaceae.
AUUAAAGCAUUGAAGAGAAUAAGUAAAUUUUAUGGAGCUUAAAAGAGAGUUAUCGGCUGGUGAGAGAUGCAAAGCGAAAUUAAAUUGAAUACGUCUCAGAGCAGCUCUCCGAAAGAUAAUAUCUAUUAGGCAGUUGACGAUUUUGCACACGUUAUAGUGCUAGGGUAUAAACAAAUUUGUUUUGUCGUACCUGAAAAGUUAAUUAUCGUGAGGUAAUUAUAAACCAAGGUGGUAACACGUGAUUAGUACUCUCGUCCUUUAU